UUCUCAUUUCUGCACUCCAAGGAUCAAGGGCAGGACUAGGCCCAGAGAAAGUGGUCAAUAGUGUUGAAGAAACAAAUUGACUUUAAAGAUGAGUGAGGUGAUUUGCAUAUUGCUGGCUUUCCUUGUCCUGACUAGUAAUUGUAGGCUUUCUGAAAUCCUAAUUCUUUGUAAAAUGUAUGGCAUCUAAUUUGCUUCUCUUUCCUUCACAGAAACAUGAUGCUACUGAAUAAUACUUCAAUUCCAGGAGCAUGAACUGAAAACCUCCUAGGAAUCAGGCAGUCCUACAUAGUCCCUGACUUUAAGAACACAGACAGAAAUUUUCACUCGGUCGACCAUAGAUACUCUGCGGGCACCAGAUCCUGCGGUGACCUGGCCAACGUUUGAUACGACACUUGGGCUUCCUUCCAAGGACUGAUGCAGAACUGGAGCAGGGUGCUAAGCAUGGGGGUUGCUCCAAAUUCAGAAAAACAAACAAACAAACAAAACCAGGGGGCUGAAGAGGAUUCAAACCAAAACUAUUUUAAGUGUAAGAAUCUGGGCAGAUAAUAAAAACAU
Long non-coding RNA from Lagenorhynchus albirostris (white-beaked dolphin), 555 nucleotides. RefSeq lists it as uncharacterized. The record is from RefSeq and is a predicted model, not a curated record. NCBI's taxonomy places the organism in Eukaryota, Metazoa, Chordata, Mammalia, Artiodactyla, Delphinidae. The transcript is spliced from 4 exons.